UUAUCAAGAAAUAAGAAGAUUGAUAGUGUUAUUAGUGUUCUUGUUUUGCUAAAUUUUGUAUAUUGUUAUCAAGAAAUGAGAAGUUUGAUAGUGUUAUUAGUGUCUUGUUUUGCUAAAUUUGUAUAUUUUAUCAAGAAAUGAGAAGUUGAUAGUGUUAUUAGUGUUCUUGUUUUGUAAAUUUGUAUAUGUUAUCAAGAAAUGAGAAGAUUGAUAGUGUUAUUAGUGUUCUUGUUUUGCUAAAAUUUGUAUAUGUUAUCAGAAAUGAGAAGAUUGAUAUUGUUAUUAGUGUUCUUGUUUUGCUAAAUUUGUAUAUUGUUAUCAAGAAAUGAGAAGAUUGAUAGUGUUAUUAGUGUUCUUGUUUGCUAAAUUUUGUAUAUUGUUAUCAAGAAAUGAGAAGAUUGAUAGUGUUAUUAGUGUUCUUGUUUUGCUAAAUUUUGUUUAUUGUUUAUCAAGAAAUGAGAAGAUUGAUAGUGUUAUUAGUGUUCUUGUUUUGCUAAAUUUUAUAUUGUUAUCAAGAAAUAGAAGAUUGAUAGUGAUUAGUGUUUUUUUUGCUAAAUUUUGUAUAUUGUUAUCAAGAAAUGAGAAGAUUGAUAGUGUUAUUAGUGUUCUGUUUUUCUAAAUUUUAUAUUGUUAUCAAGAAAUGAGAAGAUUGAUAGUGUUAUUAGUUCUUGUUUUGCUAAAUUUUGUAUAUUGUUAUCAAGAAAUGAGAAGAUUGAUAGUUAUUAGUGUUCUUGUUUUGCUAAAUUUUGUAUAUUGUUAUCAAGAAAUGAGAAGAUUGAUAGUGUUAUUAGUGUUCUUUUUUCUAAAUUUUGUAUAUUUUAUCAGAAAAGAGAAGAUUGAUAGUGUUAUUAUGUUCUUGUUUUGUAAAUUGUAUAUUUUAUCAAGAAAUGAGAAGAUUGAUAGUGUUAUUAGUGUUCUUGUUUUCUAAAUUUGUAUAUUGUUAUCAAGAAAUGAGAAGAUUGAAUAUGUUAUUAGUUCUUGUUUGCAAAAUUUGUAUAUUGUUAUCAAGAAAUGAGAGAUUGAUAUGUUAUUAUGUUCUUUUUUGCAAAUUUGUAUAUUAACAAGAACAUGAGAAGAUUGAUAGUGUUAUUAGUGUUCUUGUUUUGCUAAAUUAUGUAUAUUGUUAUCAAGAAAUGAGAAGAUUGAUAUUGUUAUUAGUGUUCUUGUUUUGCUAAAUUUUAUAAAUUGUUAUCAAGAAAUGAGAAGAUUGAUAGUGUUAUUAGUGUUCUUGUUUAUGUAUAUUGUUAUCAAGAAAUAAGAAGAUUGAUAUUGUUAUUAGUGUUCUUGUUUUGCUAAAUUUUGUAUAUUGUUAUCAAGAAACGAGAAGAAUGAUUGUUUUAUUAGUCUUCUUGUUUUGCUAAAUUUUGUAUAUUGUUAUCAAGAAAUGAGAAGAUUAAUAGGGUUAUUAGUGCUCUUGUUUUGCAAAAUUUUGUAUAUUGUUAUCAAGAAAUGAGAAGAUUGAUAGUGUUAUUAGUGUUCUAGUUUUGCUAAAUUUUGUAUAUUUUUAUCAAGUAAUGAGAAGGUUGAUAGUGUUAUUAGUGUUCUUGUUUUGCUAAAUAUUGUAUAUUGUUAUCAAGAAAUGAGAAGAUUGAUAAUGUUAUUAGUGUUCUUGUUAUCAAGAAACGUUUGACGCUGACCCUUUAGCAAAAUCUCUCAAACAUGAAAGGCAUUGCCAUGGGGAAUUCUCCAUGGCUUCUAUUCAGUCAAAUAAGGAUAUGGAAUAUCACAACAAAGUCGAUGUAAGUCAUGAUGCACUGUUCGUUUGAAUUUAUGAUGGCUUCAAAGGCCACACCACAGCUUCCUAUAUUCGUACGCACAUUAUUAGGACUCUAUUACGUGAGUUAUUUCUUUGCUUCUUUUUUCUUAGCAUACUAAUAUGUAUAUUGUUAUCAAGAAAUGAGAAGAUUGAUAGUGUUAUUAGUGUUCUUGUUUUGCUAAAUUUUGUAUAAAGACCCGAAAUAUUAGAAGAACUCUGAUGAGGAUUCGAUUAGCUUUCUGUGGUUUAUGCUAAAAUUUUUUAUAUUGUUAUCCAAGAAAUGAAAAGAUUGAUAGUGUUAUUAAGUGUUCCUUGUUAUGAAAUUUUUAUAUUGGUUAUCAAAGAAUUGAGAAGAUUGAUAGUGUUAAUUUAUGUUGUUCUUGUUUGCCCUAAAAUUUGUAAUAAGUGUUAUCAAGAAAGGUAAGAUUGAUAGUGUUAAGUGUACUUUGCGUUUUGCGAAACUACUUGUAUGUCGUUGACUAUCCAGAAGUAAGUUGGGGAUAGAUAAAGAUUGAUAGUGCCCCUAUUAGUCGUUUUUGUUUUGCCUAAAUUUUGUAUAUUGUUAAACAAGAAAUGAGGAAAAGAUUGAUGAGAGCACACGCUAGUUUUUUAGUGAUUCUUGUUUUUGCUAAAUUUGUAUAUGGUUAAUCAAAUUGUAGAAGAUUGAUAGUGUUAUUAGUGUUCUUAGUUUUAGCUUAAAAUUUGGUACUAUUGUAUGAAGUAUAAUUGAGAAGAUGGGAUAGUGUAUAUUAGUUUUUCUUAGGGAGUUUUGCCCUAAAUUUUUUUAUGUAUUGCUUAAAACAAACACUUAGAAAUUCGAAUCUGUUAUUAGUUGUUCUUGUUUUGCUAAUUUUUUAUAUUAGUAUAUCACAGAAAUGGAAAAAGAUUGAUAGUGUUAUUAGUGUACUUCUUGUUAUGCUAAAUUUUGCUAUAAAUUGUUAUCAGAAAAUGAGAAGAUUGAUAGUGUUAUUAGUGUCUUGUUUUGCUAAUUUUGUAUAUUCUGUUAUCAAGAAAUGAGAAGAUUGAUAGUGUUAUUAGUGUUCUUGUUUUGUCUAAAUUUUGUAUAUUGUUAUCAAGAAAUGAGAAGAUUGAUAGUGUUAUUUAGUGUUCUUUUUUUUGCUAAAUUUUGUAUAUUGUUAUACAAGAAAUGAGAAGAUUGAUAGUUUAUUAGUGUUCUUGUUUGCUAAAUUUUGUAUAUGUUAUCAAGAAAAUGAGAAGAUGAUAGAUGUUAUUAUGUUCUUGUUUUGCUCUAAAUUUUGUAUAUUCUUAUCAAGAAAUGAGAAAUUGAUAGUGUUAUUAGGUGUUCUGUUUUGCUAAAUUUGUAUAUUUGUUAUCAAGAAAAUGAGGAGAUCAGUAGAGAUUGAGUGCUUAUUAAGUGUGUUGUUUUGCUAAAUUUUGUAUAUUAUUCCAAGAAAGGAGAAGAUGGAUAGUGUUAUUAGUGUUCUUGUUUGCUAAUUCUGUAUUUGUUAUGCAAGAACGAUGAAAGCAUUGAUAGUGUUAUUAGUGUUCUUUGCUAAAUUUUGUGAAUUGUUAUCAGAAAUGAGAAGAUGAUUGAUAGUAGUUAUUAGUGUUCUUGUUUGGCUAAAUUUUGUAUUAUUGUUAUCAAGAAAUGAGAAGUUGAUAGUGUUAUUAGUGUUCUUGUUUUGCUAAAUUUUGUAUAUUGUUAUAAGAAAUGGAGAAGUGAUAGUGUUAUUUAGUGUUCUUGUUUGCUAAUUUUUGUAAUUUAUAUCAAGAAAUGAGAAGACUUGAUAGUGUUUUAGUGUCUUGUUUGCUAAAUUUUGUAUAUUUUAUCAAGAAAUGAGAAGAUUGAUAGUGUUAUUAGUGUUCUUGUUUUGCUAAAUUUUGUAUAUUGUUAUCAAGAAUGAGAAGAUUGAUAGUGUUGUUAUUGUUCUUGUUUGCUAAAUUUUUGUUAUAUUUACAAGAAAAUGAGAAGAGAUGAUAGUGUAUAUUAGUAGUUCUAUUGUGUUUGGCUAAAUUUUGUGUAUAGAAUUUGUGUAAACAAAGAAUAUAGAAGAUUGAUAUAGUGUCUAUUAGUGUUCUUCUUGUUUUUGGCUAAUGUUGUAUAUGUUGCAAAAAGAAAGGAGAAGAUGAUAAGGUGUUAUUACGUGUUCUUUGUUUUUGCUAAAUUUGUAUAUUGUUUCAAGAAAUGAGAAGUUGAUAGCUGUGUAUUAGUGUUUUUGUUUUUGCUAAAUUUUUGUAUAUUGUUAUCAAACAGUGAGAAGAUUGAUAGUGUUAUUAGUGUUUCUUGUUUUUGCUAAAUUUGUUAUAUUGUUAUCAAGAACAUGAGAAGAUUGAAUAGUGUUUUAGUGUUCUUGUUUUGCUAAAUUUUGUAUAUUGUUAUCAAGAAAUGGAGAAGAUUGAUAGUGUUUAGUGGUUCCUUGUUUUGCUAAAUUUUUGUAUAUUGUUAUCAAGAAAUGAGAAGAUUGAUAGUGUUAUUAGUGUUCUUGUUUUGCUAAAUUUUGUAUAUUUGUAUCAAAAAAUGAGAAGAUAUUGAUAGUGAUUAUUAGAAGUGUUCUUGUUUUGGCUAAUAUUUUGUAUUGGAUUUAUCAAGAAAUGAGAAGAUUGAUAGUGUUAUUUAGUGUUUUGGUAUUGCUAAAUUUUGUAUAUUGUUUGUCAAGAAAUGAGAAGAUUGAUAAUGUGUAUUAGUGUGUCUUGUUAGUCUGGGCAGCAAUUUGUAUAUAUUGUUAUACAAAGAAAUGGCAGAGUUGAUGCUAGUUGAUUUAUUAGUGUUUCUUGUUUUGCUAAUUUUUGUAUAUUGGUUUGCAAGAAAGAUGAAGGAUUGAUAGUCUUAUUGUGUGUGCUUGGUUUUGCAGUAAAUGGCGUUAUACGCUUGCCUUUACAAGACCCUAAAAUGAAGAGGAGUCUGCAUAGUGGAUAGUUCUUCGUAUGGGCUUACUAUUGUAAGAAUGCAGCAAAUGAUUAGUGUUAUAGUUGUUGUUUAAAAUUUGUAUAGUGCUACCAAGAAAUGAAGAUAGAAACGCAUAGUUAGCUGUUCUUUUUGCAUUGUGUAUGAUUGGCUUAACGCCAAGCAUAUGCAAUCGACAGGAUUUUAAGUUAUAAGUGUUAUUUUAGUGUUUUGCAUCUUUUCGUAAAUUUUGUAUAUUGUUAUCAAGAAAUGAGAAGAUUGAUUAUGUUAUUAGUGUUCUUGUUUGCUAAAUUUUUGUAUAUUUGUUUACAAGAAAUGAGAGAUUGAUAGUGUUAUUAGAUGUUCUUGUUUUGCUAAAUUUUGUAUAUUGUUAUGCAAGAAUAGAAAGAUUGAAGUCUGUUAUUAGUGUCUUGUUUUGUCCUAAAUUUGUAUAUUGUUAUCAAGAAAUGAGAAGUCUGAUAGUGUUAUUAGUGUCUUCGUUUUCCCUAAAUUUGUAUAUUGUUAUCAGAAUGAGAGAUUGAUAGGUUAUUAGUGUUCUUGAUUUUGCUAAAUUUUGUAUAUGGGUUAUCAAGAAAUGAAGAUUUGAUUAGUGUUUAUUAGUUUCUUGUUUUGCUAAUUUGUAUAUUGUUAUCAAGAAUGAGAAGAUUGAAUAGUGUUAUUAGUGUUCCUUGUUUUGCUAAAUUUGUUAUAUUGUUAUCAAGAAAUAGAAGAAGAUUGAUAGUGUUUAUUAGUGUUUUUUGUUGCUAAAUGUUUGUAUAUUGUUAUCAAAAAUGAGAAGAAUUGAUGAGUUUUAGUGUUCUGUUUUGCUAAAUUUUGAUAUUGUAUAUCAAGAUAUGAGAAGAUUGAUAGUGUUAUUAGUCGCAUUUUGUCUUUGCCAUAAAUUUUGUAUAUUUUUCGACUCUUUUGGAUUACUAGUGAGUUAUUUGCUUUUCUUUUUUCUGGCAUAAUAAUUUGUGUAUUUGUUAUGUCAGAAAUGAGAAGCUGAAUAGUGAUUAUUAGUGUUCUUGUUUUGCCCCUAAAUUUUUGUAUAAUUGUUAUCAAGAAACUGAGAAGAUUGAUAGUGUUUGAUUAGUGUUCUUUUUUGUUGUCUAAUUUUGUAUAUUGUUAUCAAAGAAAUGAGAAGAUUGAUAUGUGUUAUUAAGUGUUUCUUGUUUUGCUAAAUUUUGUAUUUGUUAUCAAGAAAUGUAUUAAGAUUGAUAUAUGUUAAUUCAGUGUUCUUAGUUAGCACUUAAAUUUUGAUAUAAUGUAUAUCAAGAUAAUAUGAGAUAGAUAGUGUUAUUUAGUGUUCUGUUUAGGGCUUAAAUUUUUGUAUAUUGUUAUUAAGUAAAUGGAGGAAGAUCGAUUUGUGUAUUAUUAUGAUUCUUGUUUAUUGCUAAUUUUGUCAAUUGUAUGCCAGGAAAGGAAGAAGAUGAUAGUGUUAUUGUGUCCUGUUUGCUUCACUUGUGUAAUAUUGUUUCGCUCCAGAAUGAGAAGAUUGAUAGUGUUUAUAGUGUUCUUUUAUGUUUUCUAACAUUUGUAUAUUGUUUUUCAAGAAAUGAGAAGAUGAUGAUAGUGUUUAUUAGCUGUUCUUGGGUUUUGCUAAUAUUUUGUAUAGGCUUGUAUCAAAAGAGACUUGUUUCGACAAGAUAUAAUCAGUGUUUUUUUUAUUUUGUGUUCUUGUUUUGCUAAAUUUUGUAUACUUGUUAUCAAAGAAAUGAGAAGUGAAGAUGUUAAUUAGUGUUCUUGUUUUACUAAUUUAUUGUAUAUUUGUUAUCAAGAUAAUGAGAAGAUUGAUAGUUGUUAUUUAGUGUUUCUUGUUUUGCUAAAUUUUGUAUAUUGUUAUCAAGAGAAUGCAGAAAAGAUUGAUAGUGUUAUUAGUGUUCUUGUUUUGCCUAAAAAUUAAUUGUUUAUCAAGAAAUGAGAAGAAUUGAUAGUGUUAUUAGUGUUCUGUUUGCUAAAUUUGUAAUAUUGUUACAGAAAUGCGAAGAUUGAUAGUGUUAUUUAGUGUUCUUGUUUUGCUAAAUUUUGUAUGAUUAUAUCAAGAAAUGAGAAGGUUGAUAGUGUUAUUAGUGUUCUUGUUUUGCUUAAUUUUGUUAUAUUGUUAUUCAAGAAAUGAGAAGAUGAUAGUGUUAUUAGUGUGUUUCUUGUUACAAGAAACUUUGAACGCUGACCCUUUAAAAAUUCUCUCAAAAAAUGAAAAGGCAUUGCCAUGGGGAAUUCUCCAUGGCUUCUGUUCAGUCAAAUAAGGAUAUGGAAGAUCACAACAGGAAAUGUAAGUUCAUGACGCACUGUUUUUUAGAAUUAUGAUGGUUCAAAGGCCACACACUCGCUUCCUAUAUAUCCGUAACGCACAUCUUUAGGAUCUUAUUACGUGAAUUAUUUUUUUGCCUUCUUUUUUCUUAGCAUCUUACCUGUAAUUCUAUAUAUAUGACAUGCCUGAAAGGAUUGAAGGUGUUAUUAGGUUCUUGUUUUCUAAAUUUUGUAUAUUGUGUUUAUCAAGAAAUGAGAAGAUUGAUAGGUGGUUAUUAGUGUUCUUUGUUUUGCUAAAUUUUGUAUAUUGUUUAAUCAGAAAUGAGAAGAUCGAUAGUGUUAUUAAGUGUUUUUGUUUUGCUAAAUUUUGUUAUAUUGCUUAUCAAGAAAUAGAAGAUGAUAGUUUUUAUUAGUGUUCUUGUUUUGCUAAAUUUUUUUAUAUUGUUUCAAGAAAUGAAGAUGAUUGAUAGUGUUAUUAGUGUUCUUGUUUGCUAAAUUUUGUAUAUUGUUUUAUCAAGAAAUGAGAAGAUUUGAUAGUGUAUUAGUGUUCUUGUUUGCUAAAUUAUGUAUAUUGUUAUCAAGAAAUAGAAGAUUGAUAUGUUAUAGUGUUCUUGUUUUGCUAAUAUUUUGUAUAUUGUUAUCAAGAAAUGAGAAGAUUGAUAGUUUAUAUAAGUGUUUUUUGUUUUGCUAAAUUUGUAUAUUGUUACAUAGAAAUGAGAAGAUUGAUAGUGUUAUUUAGUGUUCUUGUUUUGCUAAAUUUUUGUAUAUUGUUAUCAAGAAAUGAGAAGAUGAUAGUGUUAUAGUGUUCUUGUUUUGCUAAAUUUUGUAUAUUUUAUCAAGAAAUGAGAAGAUUGAAGUGUUAUUAGUGUUCUUGUUUUGGCUAAAAUUUUGUAUAUUGUUUACUCAAGAAAUGAGAAGAUAUGAUUGUGUUAUUAGUUCUUGUUUUGCUAUUUUGUUAUUAUUAUCAAGAAAGGUAGAGAUUGAUAGUUGUAUUAGUUUCUUGUUUUGCUAAAUUGUGUAUAUUGUUAUCAAGAAAUGAGAAGAUUGAUAGGUUAUUGUGUUCUUGUUUGCUAAAUUUUGUAAUUGUUAUCGAAGAAAUGAUAGAGAAGAUUGAUAGUGUUAUUAGUGUUCUUUUUUGCAAUUUUGUAUUAUGUUAUCAAGAAAUGAGAGAUUGAUAGUGUUAUUAGUGUUCUUGUUUGCUAAAUUUUGUAUAUUGUUAUCAAGAAAUAGAAGGUGUAGUGUUAUUUAGUGUUCUUGUUUUGCUAAUUUUGUAUAUUUUAUCAAGAAAUGAGAAGAUUGAUAGUGUUAUUAUAAGUUCUUGUUUUGCUAAAUUUUAGUAUAUAUUUUAUCAGAAAUGAGAAGAUUGAUAGUGUAUAUUAGUGUUCUUGUUUUCUAAAUUUAUGAUUAUAUUGUUUCAAGAAUUGAGAAGAUUGAUAUGUAUUAGUGUUCUUGUUUGCUAAAUUUUGUAUAUGUUAUCAAGAAAUGAGAAGAUUGAUAGUGUUAUUAGUGUUCUUGUUUUGCUAAAUUUGUAUAUGUUUCAAGAAAUGAGAAGAUUGAUAAUGUUAUUAGUUGUUCUGUUUUCUAAAUUUUUGUAUAUUUUAUCAAGAAAUAGAGAUUGAUAGUGUUUUGUUGUUCUUGUUUUGCUAAAUUUUGUAUAUUGUUAUCAGAAUGAGAAGAUUGAUAGUGUUAUUAGUGUUCUUGUUUUGCUAAAUUUGUAUUAUUGUUAUCAAGAAAUGAGAAGAUUGAUAGUGUUAUUAGUGUUCUUGUUUUGCUAAAUUUUGUAUAUUGUUAUCAAGAAUGAGAGAUGAUAGUAUGUUAUUAGUGUUCUUGUUUGCUAAAUUUUUGUAUAUUUUUAUCAAGAAAUGAGAAGAUUGAUAGUGUUAUUAGUGUUCUUGUUUUGCUAAUUUUUGUAUAUUGUUCAGAAAUGAGAAGAUUGAUAGUGUUAUUAGUGUUCUUGUUUUGCUAAAUUUUGUAUUGUUAUCAAGAAAUGAGAAGAUUGAUAGUUGUUUUUAGUGUUCUUGUUUGCUAAAUUUGUAUAUUGUUUCAGAAAUGAGAAGAUUGAUAGUGUUAUUAGUGUUUUGUUUUGCUAAAAUUUUGUAUAUUGUUAUCAAGAAAUGAGAAGAUUGAUAUGUAAUUAGUGUCUUGUUUGCUAAAUUUUGUAUAUUCGUUAUCGAAAAUGAGAAGAUUGAUAGUGUUAUUAGUGUUUCUUGUUUUGCUAAAUUUUGUAUAUUGUUAUCAAGAAUGAGAAGAUUGAUAGUGUUAUUAGUGUUCUUGUUUGCUAAAUUUUGUAUAUUGUUUAUCAAGAAAUGAGAAGAUUGAUAGUGUUAUUAGUGUUCUUGUUUGCUAAAUUUUGUAUAUUUUUUCAAGAAAUGAGAAGAUUGAUAGUGUUAUUAGUGUUCUUGUUUGUAAUUUUGUAUAUUGUUACAAAGAAAUGAGAAGAUUGAUAGUGUUAUUAGUGUUUCUUGUUUUGCUAAAUUUUGUAUAUUGUUUAAGAAAUGAGAAGAUUGAUAGUGUUAUUAGUGUUCUUGUUUUGCUAAAUUUUGUAUAUGUUAUCAAGAAAUAGAAGAAGGAUAGUGUUUAUUACGUGUUCUUGGUUUAGUAAACUUUGUGUAUAUUCUGGUUAUUAGAAAUGAAAGAUGAUUGUGUGUAUUAGUGUUCUUGGUUUUGCUAUUUGUAUAUAUGUUGGCAAGAAAGUGAGAAGAUCGAUAGGUGCUUAUUAAGUCGUUUCUUGUUUUCUAAUUUGAUAUUAGUUCUCAAGAAAAUGCAAAGAUUGAUUAGUUGUAGUUAUGUCUUCUGUUUUGCCACUAAAUUUUGUAUAUUGUUAUCAAGAAAUGAGAAGAUUGAAUAGUGUUAUUAGUGUUUGUUUCUGCUAGAUUUUCUGGUAUAUGUGUUUAUCAAGAAAUGAGAAAGAUUGAUAGUGUUAUUAGUGUUCUUGUUUUGCUUAAAUUUUGUAUAUUGUUAUCAAGAAAUGAGAAGAUUGAUAUGUGUUAUUAGUUCUUCUGUUUGCUAAAUUUUGUAUAUGUUAUCAAGAAUGAAGAUAGAUAGUGUUAUUAGUGUUCUUGUUUGCUAAAUUUGUAUAUUGUUAUCAAGAAAUGAGAAAUUAGAUUGUGUUAUUAAGUGUUUUGGUUUGUUUGCCUAAUUUUGAUAUUGUUUAUCCAAGAAAGAGAAGAUUGAUAGUGUUAUUAGUGUUCUUGUUUUGGCUAAAUUGUUGUAUAUUGCUUUGCAAGAAAUGCAAAGAGUUGAUAGUGUGUCAUUACUGUUUUUGUUUUGCUAAAUUUGUACAUAUUGUUUUCAAGAAAAUGAGAAGAUCUGAUAUGUUAUUAGUGUGUUGCUUGUUUGCUAAUUUUGUAUAUUUGUUAUCAAAAAAAUAGAGAAUUGAUAGUGGUUUAUUAGUGUUCUGUUUUGCUAAAUUUUGUAUAUUUGGUUAUAAGAAAUAGAGGAAAAAGGUUCGAUAGUGUUAUUAGUGUUCUGUUUUGCUAAAUUUUGUAUAUUCUUAUCCAAGAAAUAGAGAAGAUUGAAUAAUGUUAUAGUGUUCUUAGUUUUCUAAUUUUGGUAUAUUUUUGGGUUUUUAUCAAGCACCCAAAUGCCGAAGAUUGAAUCAGUGUUAUUAGUGUUUUGGUUUAUGCUAAAUUUUUGUAUAAUUGGUCUGAUCCAAAGAAACAUGAGAAGAUGAUAAUGUUAUUUUAGUGGUUUACUUGCUUAUCGGCUAAAUUUUGUAAUUGUUAUCAGAAAUUAGAAGAUUGAAUUAGUGUUAGUUAGUUGUUAUUAGUUUUUGGCUAAAAAUUUAUUGGUUAUAUUGGGUUAAUCAAAGAAUAAUGAGAAGAAGAGGUCCGAGUAGUUGAUGUAGCUAGUAGUUAGUCUUGUUUAUGCUAGAAAUAAUUUGUAUCUUGUUAUCUAAGAAAGAUUAGAAGAAUGGAAUAGUGUUAUAGGUGUUCUUAGGUUUGACUAAUGUGUAUACUUUUUGUGUCAAGAAGACGAAAGGAAGAAUGAUAGUGUUAUUGUAGUGUUUUUAUUUUGCUAAACUUAUUGCUAUAAUUCGUUAUCACAAUAAUGAGAAAGAAUGGGAUUAAGUAGGUUAUUGAGUGUUCUUCUGUUUUGCUAUCAAUUUUGUAAUAGUUGUUAUCAAAGAAAAUGAGAAGAUUAGUGUCUUCGUUAAUAUAUGUUUAUUGCAGUUUUGCUACCAUUUGUAUGAUUUUGAUUCAAGAAAUGAGAAGAAAAUCUGAAUAAUUGUUGAAAUUGAGUGUUCUUUCUUGUUAAUGCUAAAUUUUGUAAUAUAGUCUAGUCAAGAAAAUAUGAAGAUAGAUAGUGGUUAUAGUUGUUGCUGUUUAGCUAAAUUUUGUAUAUUGUUAUCAGAAAUGGAGAAGAGUCGAUUGUGUUAUAAGUGUUCUUGUUUUGCUAAUUUGGAAUAUAUUUUUGGUUUGCCCAAGUAAAGGAGAAAGAUGGAUAGGUGGUUAUUGUAUGUUCUUGUUUUGCUAAAUUGUGUUAUUGGUUGUCAGAAAAUGAAAAAGAUUGCGAGAUAGUGUUAUUAGUGUUUUUGCUUUUGCUAGAUUUGAGUAUUAAUUGUUUCUAAUGCUGAAAUGAGAAGUUUGCACAUUGAAUAGUGUUAUUCAGAUGUUCGUAUUGCUAACAUUUUUAAUAUUGUUAUACGAAAGAACAUGAAGAAUAGUUGAUAGUGUGUUUUAUGCUGCUUAGGUUGUUGUCUAGUUUUGUAAUAUUGUUUACUCAGAAUGAGAAGGUGCAAGUUGUAAUUAUGUUGCUUGUUUGCUAAAUUUUGUAUAUUGCAUUAUCAGAAGAAAAUGAGAAGAUUGAUAGUGUUAUUAGUGUUCUGGUUUUCUAAUUAUGUGUAUAUCUAGUUAGAAGGAAAGAAUAGAUUGAUAGGUUGUUAAUUAGUGGCUUCUUGUUUUGACGUAAAUUUUAGGGGAUAUUUGUUGUCAAAGAAAUGUAAGAAGAUGGAUAGAUGUUAUGUAGUGGUUCUUGUUACUGCUAAAUGAUGUUGUAUAUAGUUGUAUCCAAAGAAAAUGAGAGAGAUUGACUAGUGUUAUUUGAGUGUGUCUUGUUUUGCCUAAAUUUUUGUAUAAUGUAGUUAUGGAAGAAAUGGAGAAAGGUCGAUAGUGUUCAUUAGUGUUCGUUAGUUUGCCUAAGAUUUUAUAUAUUAGGUAUCAAAAGAAAUCGAGAAGAUUGAUAGUGCUUAAUUAGAUGUUCUGUGUUAUAUGCUGCCUAAAUUGUGUUAUUUUUGUCAUAAGAAACUGAGAAGAUUGAUAGUGGUUAUAUUGAGGGUGUUGUUUAAGUAUUGCUAAAUUUGUAUAUGUGUUAUGCAAGAAAUGAGACAGAUUAGAUAGUGCUUUGUUAGUGUUCUUGUUUUGCCCUAUACUUUGUUGGGUAUAUGUGUCUUAGUCAAAGAUAAUGAGAAGAUUGAUAGUGUUUUUUACUCGUUGUCUGUCUGAUUUGGCCCGCCUAUACUUUUGUAUAAUUCUUAUCAGAAAUAUGAGAAGAUUGAAUAGGUGUUAUUAGUGUUCUGUGUUUUGGCCGUAUAUUUUGUAUAUUCUUAAUCAACGAAAUGAGCAUAGAUUGAUGUAGUUUUUAGUGUUCUAUGGUUUUUGCCCCUAAAUUUUGUAUAUGUUGAUACAAGAAAUGAGAAGAUUGUAUAGUUAUUAGUGUUCCUAUGUUUUAUGCCUAAUUUUUGUAUUAGUUAUCAAGAAAUAUGAAGAUAGAUAGUGUUAUUAGUGUUCUUGGUUUAGACUAAUUUGUAAUAUUGUUAAUAAGAAAUGAGAAGAUAUUCCGAUUGUUUAUUAGUGUUCUUGUUUUGCCUAAUCUGUUGCAGAUAUUGGUUGUGCUCGAAUAUGGUGGCAAGACAAGGAGAAGAUGAUCGGUUUAUUAGUGUUCUUGUUUUUGCUAAAGUGUGUAUAUUUGGAUGUCCAAGUAAAUGACGAAGAUUAUAGUCGUUAUUAAAGUGUAUUUGUUUUGCAUAAAUGUUGUAAAUAUUGUAUCAAGACAGUGGAGAAGAUUGGAUAUGUGUUAUUAGUGUUACUUCGUGUUUUUCUAUACAGAUUUUGUAUAUGUGUGUAUCAAGAAUGACAAAAUUAGAUAGUGUUUUCUAGUAUUGUUCUUGUUUUACUGAGCCCUAAAUUUUGUAUAAUUGUUCAGUAGAAAUAGAAGGUCGAUAGGUCGUUAUUAGUGAUUCUUGUUUUUCGGCUGAUAGAAAUGUUGUAUAUUCUUAUCGAAGAAAUGAGAAGAUGAUAGUGUUAUUGUGUUCUUGGUUUGGCUAAUUUGUAAUAUUGUUGUAUGCAAGUACCAUGAGAAAGGAUUGAAUAGUCGUUAUUAGUGUCCUCUUAGUCUUUGGCUAAAUUUUUGUAUACUUGCUGUCCAAGAAUGAAGAAGAUUGAUAAUAUUAUUAGUCGUUCUUGGUAUGCUAAUAAAUUUUGUAUAUUGUUAUGCAAAGAAAAUGAGGAUGAUUCGAUAUGCGUUAUUAGUGUUUCUGUUUUGCCUAUAAUUUUGUAUAUGUUAUCAAAGAAAGAUGAGUAAGAGCGUCGAGUAUGUAGCUGAUUAGGUUCUUGGUUUUUGCUAAAAUUUUGGUAAUAUUGUUAUCAAGAAAUGAGAAGAGUUGAUAGUGUUAUUAGUGGUUUAAUUGUUUUGCCUAAUAAGGUUGUGUGAUGAUUUUUGUCAAAGAAAUGAGAAGAUUGGAUAAGUGUUAUUAGUGCUUUUUAUUUUUGCUAAAAUUUUGUAUAUUGUUAUCGGUAAGAAAGGAAGAAGCGGAUUGGGAUAGUGUGUUUUUAGUGGUUCUUUUGUUUUGCUAAAUUGUAUGAUUGUUAUCAAGAAAUGAAGAAGUAUUGAUAGGUUGUAUCAUUAGUGUUCUUGUUUUGGCUAUUUUGUAUAUGUUAUCAAAGAAUGAGAAGAUUGAUAUUGUUAUAUAGUGUUCUUUGUUUUGCUAUAUUUUGUAAUAUUGUUAUCAAGAAAUGAGGAGAUGAUGUGCUAUGAUGUUUUGCUAAAUUUGUAUCAUUGUUAUCAGAAGGAGGAUUGUAGUAAGUUAACUUAGCUGUCUUCAUUUGUGCUAAAUAAGUUGUUAAUCAAGAUAGUGCAGAAGAUUGGAUACGUGUUUUUAGUGUUCUUGUUCUUGCUAUUUUGUAUAUUGUUUCGAAAGGAUGAGAAGAUCGUAGUGUUAUUAGUGUUCUAUGUUUGCCUAUAAUUUUGUUAUUUGUUAUCAAGAAUGAGAAGAUUGAUAGGUAGUGAUUCUUGUUUUCUAAUUUUAGUUAUUGUUCUCAAGAAAUGAGUUGAGGGUUAUGCUUCGUUUGACUAAUUUUGUAUAUGUUAAGAAAAGUGAGAAGGAUUGACUAAUGUUAGUUGAGUUGUUUUGAUUUUGCUAAAUUUGUAGAUGUUAUCAAUAACGAUGAGAAGAGCACUUGAUAGGUAGGUUAUUAUUAGUGUUCUGUCGUUUCGAACUAUAAUUUAUUGUAUAAUUGUUAUCAAGAAAAUGAGAAGAUUAGAAUAGUGUUAAUGAAAAAGUUUGUCGUUUUGGCUAAUUUUGUAUUUCUUAUCAAGAAAUGAGAAGAUUGAUAGUGUGUAUUAGUGUUCUUUUUGACUAAUGUUUGUUAAUUGCUUAUCAAGAAAUGAGAAGAUUGAUAGUGUUAUUAGUGUUCUUGUUUUUGGCUCUAAAUUUUUGAGUAUAUUGUGAUCAAGAAUGAGAUAGUUGUAUGUUAUUAUGUUCUUGUUUAUGCUAAGUUUUGUAUAUUAGUUAUUUCAAGAAUGAUGAAGAUUGAUAGUGUAUUAGUCGUUCCUCUGUAUUGCUAAAAUUAUUGUAUAUUGUAUCAAGAAAUGAGAAGAUUCGAUUGGUGUGUAUUAGUGUUCUUGGUUUUGCUAAGUUUUUGUAUAUUGUUACAAGAAAAGGAGAAGAUGUGAUAGUGUUAUUGUGUUCAUUGUUUUGCCUAAAUUGUGUAUAUUGUUUUCAAGACAAUGAGCAAGAUGAUAUUAUUUCAUUGAGUUGCUUAUUUUAUAUGCUUUCGAAUGAGAAAUUAUGUGGUAUUAGUUUCGUUAUCAAGAAAUGACUAGACUAGGAAAUUUUCAAAGUGAACAUGGCUAUUAGUGUUCUGUUGGCUAUUAUUGUAAUAAGGAAUGUAGUAUCAAACAGCGAAAUAUGAGACAGUAUUGAAUGUUUUGAUGGCUUUUAGCACGGAUCUUUUCGUACUGCACUAAAUUUUGUCAGUUCGUUUAGUUAUCUGUUUCAAUUAGCGAGUGUAUUCCGAAUUUUAUCAGGAUGAAUGAUAGUGUAUUAGUGAUCUUGUUUUGGCUAAAUUUUGUGUAUAUUGUAUCAAUGAAUGAAAGGAUUGAUAGGGUUUAUGUGAGUCUGUUCUUGUUUUGCCUAAUACUAUGUAUAUUGUUAUCAAGAAAAUGAGAAGAUUGAUAGAUGUUAUUAGUGUUCUGUUUUGCUAAAUUUGUAUAUUGUUAUCAAGAAAUGAGAGGAUUGGAUUGUUGAUUAGUGUUCUUGUUGAUGCCUAAAAUUUUUGUAUAUUGUUAUACAAGAAAUGAGAAGAUUGAUAGUGUGAAUUAGUGUUUGCUCUGGUUUUGCUAAAUUUUGUAUAUUGUUAUCAAGAAGAUGAGAAGAUGUGAUAGGGUUUAUUAGUGUUCUUGUUUUGCCUAAAUUUUGAUUAGGUCACUUGUUAUCAAAAUAGAACAUGAGUAAGAUUGAUAGUUGAUGAUUAGUGUUCACGUGGGGUUUGUGCGUAAAUUGAUGGUAAUUUUUUGUUCAUAGAAAUGAGAAUGAUUGAUGUGUUUAUUAAGUGUUUUAUUUUUGACUAAAUUUAUGGUAGAUAUAUGUUUAUUCGAAGAAAUGUGGAGAGAUUGAUAGUGUUUUUAGGUGUUCCUGUUUUGCUAUAGUUUUUGUAUAUUGUUAUCAAGAAAAUAGAAGAUUGAUAGUGUUAUUAGUGUUCUUGUUGUUGCUUUAUUCUUGUAUAUUCUUAUCAAGAAAUGAGAAGAAUUGAUAUGUUUAUUAGUGUUCUUCGUUUUGCUAUAUUUUUGUAAUAUUCUAUAUCAAGAAAUGAGAAAAGAUUGAUAGUGUUAUAGUGUUCUUGUUUUGCCUAAAUUUUGUAUAGUUGGUUGUCAAGAAAUGAGCAAGAGUUGAUAAUGUUUAUCGUGGGGGUACCGUUUUGGAGUUCAUGGUGAGGUCUGGAAGGAGCGACUAAGGGCACCCGAUGUCAGAACACUAACAAGUGGCGUGAUAGGGUGUUUACUUAAAGGCAGAUCGCGUGGAAGACUAGAAUGUGGCGUGUCAUGCAGCAUUGGUGCUUGGUAUAACUAGUAGCCAGCUCAGUAUAUAAAGAAUUUUUGUGUGAGUAUAGCUAUGUAUACCUCCGGAGGAAGAGGAAAAGGAAGGAAUGUUGUGGAUCGAGAGUUCUAUGUUGGUAUAAGGUUGAGUGUUUCCUUGUUUUGCUCAGAUUUUGCGUAUAGUAGUUUAACCCUCCCGCCGGCACGUAAGUUGAAGAGAGAAGGAUGGGACUGAUGUGUAUCGGUAGUGUGUACUUUGAUUUUGAGGCUAAACUUGAGUGUAUACGGUUAGUUAUUUGUGUCGAAAAGAGGCGAGAGGAUCGGAAUGUUGGUGUUCAUUAGUCGUUUUUUCUGGUAUUUUGCAGAUUUGUAUAUUGUUAUCAAAGAAUGAGAAGAUUGAUAAGUGUUAUAGUGUUCUGUUUGCUAAAUUUUUGUAUAUUGUUAUCAAGAAAAUGAGACGAUGUAGUGUUAUUUAGUGUUCUUGUUUUUGCUACACAUUUUGUAUAUUGUUAUUCAAAAUGAGAAGUGUGAUAGUGUUACUAGUGUUCUUGUUUUGCAAUUUUGUAUAUUUUAUCCAAGAUAAUGAGAAAGAUGAUAGUGUUAUGUUUAUUAGUGUUCUGUGUUUGCUAAUAUUUUGUAUAAUUGUGUUAUCCAAGAAUGAGAAAGAUUGAUAGUGUUAUUAGUGUUUUUUGUUUUUGCUACAAAUUUGUAUAUUGUUUAGAGAAAUGAGAAGAUUUUGAUAAAGUCUUAUUAAGUGUUCUUGUUAUGCUAAAUGCUUUGGCUGAUAUUGUUAUCAAGAAAUGAGAAGAUUGUAGUGUUUUAGUGUUCUUGUUUUGCUAAAUUUUGUUAUUAGUAUCAAGAAAUGAAGAAGUGAUAGUGUUAUUAGUGUUCGCUUGUAUUUUGCUAAUUGUUGUAAGUAUUGUUAUCAAGAAAUGAGAAGAUUGAUAGUGUUAUUAGUGUUUCUUGUUUUGCUAAAUUUUGUAUAUUGUUUCAAGAAAUGAGAAGGCGAUAGUGUUAUUAGUGUUCUUGUUUGCUAUAUUUUGUAUAUUAUCUUAUUCCAAGAAAUCGAGAAGAUUGAUAGUGUUAUUAGUGUUCUUGUUUUGCAUAAUAUUUGUAUAAUUGUUAUCAAGAAAUGAGAAGAUUGAUAGUGUUUAUUAGUGUUCUUGUUUUGCUAAAGUUUGUAUAUUGUUAUCAAGAAAUGAGAAGUUGAUAGUUUCUAUAGUGUUCUUGUUUUGCAAAUUUUGUAUUUUUAUCAAAAUGUAGAAGAUUGAUGAGUGUUUCUUAAGUGUUCUUGUUUUGCUAAAAUUUGUAAUUUGUUUCAAGGAAAUGAGAAGAUUGAUAGUGUUAUUAUGUGUUUUUGUUUUGCUAAAUUUUGUAUAUUGGUUAUCAAAGAAAUGUGAGAAGAAUUGGAUUGAGUGUUAUUAGUGUUCUUGUUUUUGCUCGAAAUUUUAUGUAAUUCGUUAUACCGAGAAGAGAAAUGAGAAGAUCUGGAUAAGUGGUUAUUUAGUGGUUCCCUUGUUUUGCUGAAAUUUUGUAUAUUGUUUAUCACUCGAGCAAGAAAUGAGAAGAUUGAUAUGUUAUUAGGUGUUUUCUUUGUUUUGGACUGUAAAUUUUGUAUAUUGCUAUCUCAAAAUAGAGAAGAUCGAAUAGUGUUAUUAGGGUUCUUGUUUUGCUAAAUUCUUGUCAUUGUUAUCCAAGAAUAUAGAGUUAUGUGUAAGUUGAUAUCAGUUUAUCAAGAAAUAGGAGAUUGAUAGUGUUAUUAGUGUUCUUGUUUUGCUAAAUUUUGUAUAUUGUUAUCAAGAAAUGAGAGAUUGAUAGUGUUUAGUGUCUUUUUUGUAAAUUUUGUAUAUUGUUAUCAAGAAAUGAGAAGAUUGAUAGUGUAAUUAAGUGUUCUUGUUUUGUUAAAUUUUUGGUAUAUGUUAUCAAGAAAUAGAAGAUGAUAGUGGUUAUUAGUGUUCUUUUGCUAAAUUUUGUAUAUUGUUAUAAGAAAUGAGAAUGAUGUGUUAUUAGUGUUCUUUGUUUUGCUAAAUUUUGUAUAUUGUUUCAAGAAAGGAGAAGAUGGAUAGUGUUAUUAGUGUUCUUGUUUUGCUAAAUUUGUAUAUUGUUACAAGAAAUGAGAAGAUUGAUAGUGUUAUUAGUGUUUUGUUUUGCUAAAUUUUGUAUAUUGUUAUCAAGAAAUGAGAAGAUUGAUAGUGUUUAUUAGUGUUCUUGUUUUGCUAAAUUUUGUAUAUUGUUAUUCAAGAAAUGAGAAGAUUGAUAGUGUUUUAGUGUUCUUGUUUUGCUGAAAUUUUGUAUAUUGUUUCAAGAAAUGGAAGAGGUGAUAGUGUUAUUGUGUUCUUGUUUUGCUAAAUUUUUAUAUUCUUAUCAAGAAAUGAGAAGAUUGGAUAGUGUUAUUAGUGUUCUUGUUUUGCUAAUUUUGUAUAUUGUUAUCAAGAAAUGAGAGAUUGAUAGUGUUAUUAGUGUUUUGUUUGCUAAAAUUUUGUAUAUUGUUUCAAGAAAUGAAGAUGAUAGUGUUAUUAGUGUUCUUGUGUUUGCUAAAUUGUAUAUUGUAUCAAGAAUGAGAAGAUUGAUAGGUUUUUAGUGUUCUUGUUUUGCAUAAAUUUGUAUAUUUGUUAUCAAGAAUGAGAAGAUUGAUAGUGUUAUUAGUGUUUUGUUUUGCUAAAUUUUGUAUAUUGUUACAAGAAAUGAGAAGAUUGAUUGAUUAUUAGUGUUUGUUUUGCUAAAUUUUUGUAUAUUUUAUCAAGAAAUGAGAAGAUUGAUAGUGUUAUUAGUGUUCUUGUUUUGCUAAAUUUUGUAUAUUGUUAUCAAGAAAUGAGAGAUUGAUAGUGUUAUUUAGUGUUCUUGUUUUGCUAAAUUUUGUAUAUUGUUAUCAAGAAAUGAGAAGUGAUAGUGUUAUUAGUGUUCUUGUUUUGCUAAAUUUUGUAUAUUGUUAUCAAGAAAUAGAAGAUUGAUAGUGUUAUUAGUGUUUUGUUUUGCUUUCAUUUGUAUAUUGUUAUCAGAGAAUAUGAAGAUGAUAGUGGUUAUUAGUGUUCUUGUUUGCUAAUUUUGUAUAUUGUUAUAAAGAAAUGAGAAGAUGAUUGUUGUUAUUAUGUCUUGUUUUGGCUAAAUUUUGUAUUAUUGUUCAAAGAAAGGAGAAGAUGAUAGUGGUUAUAGUGUUCUUGUUUUGCUAAAUUUAGUAUAUUGUUAUCAAGAAAGAGAAGAUUGAUAGUUUAUAUAGUGUUUUUGUUUUGCUAAAUUUUGUAUAUUGUUAUCAAGAAAUGAGAAGAUUGAUAGUGUUAUUAGUGUUCUUGUUUUGCUAAAUUUUGUAUAUUGUUAUCAAAAUGAGAAGAUUGAUAGUGUUUUAGUGUUCUUGUUUUGCUAAAUUUUGUAUAUUGUUAUCAAGAAAUGAGAAGUGAUAGUGUUAUUAGUGUUCUUUUUUGCUAAAUUUUUAUAUUUUAUCAAGAAAUGAGAAGAUUGAUAGUGUUAUUUAGUGUUCUUGUUUUGCUAAUUUUGUAUAUUGUUAUCAAGAAAUGAGAAGAUUGAUAGUGUUAUUAGUGUUUGUUUUGCUAAAUUUUGUAUAUUGUUUCAAAGAAAUGAGAAGAUUGAUAUGUUAUUAGUGUUCUUGUUUGCAAAUUUUAGUAUAUUGUUAUCAAGAAAUUAGAAGAUUGAUAGUGUUAUUAGUGUUCUUGUUUUUGCUAAAGUUUUGUAUAUUGUUAUCAAGGAAUGCGAGAAGCAUCGAUAGUGUUUAUUAGUGUUUGCUUGUUUUCUAAAUUUUGUAUAUUGUUUAUCCCAAGGAAAUGACGGAAAGCUCGAUAGUGUAUUAAGUGUUCUUGUUUUGCUGUUAUUUGUAUAGGUUCCUUAUCAACUGAAUGAGAAGAUUAGAUAGUGGUUAUUAGAGUGUUCUUGUCUUCUGACUAUUUUUGGUAUAUUGUUAUCAAUAGAAAUGAGAAGCUUGGAUAAGAUGUAUUAAUAGUGUCUGUUUGCGCUAUAUUUUGUAUAUUUGCUUAUCUAAAGAAUGAAGAAGAUUGUAGUGUGUAGUUAGUAGUUCUUUGUUUUGCUAACACUUUUGUAUCAGUUGCUUUAUCGAAGUAAAUGAGAAGAUAUUAAUAGUCGUUUUUAGUGUUCUUGUAUUUUGCUAAAUGGUGUAUAUUGUUGUCAGUGAAUGCGAGAAAGAUAUUGAAUAGUUGUGAUUAGUAGUUUUUGUUUUGCCUAAAUUAGUUGUAUAUUGGUUAUCCAAGAACUGAGAUUAGAUUGAUUUAGAGGUACGUAUUAAAGUAGUCUAGUUUUGCGUCUAAAUUUGUAUUAUAUGUUAUCAAGAAUGAGAAUGGAUUGCUAAGUGGUUUAUUAGUGGUUCUUGCUUUUAGCUAAAAUUAUUGUAUAUGUAGUUAUCAAGAGAAAUGAGAAAGAAUGAAUAGUGUUAUUAGUGUUCUGUGUUUUGCUAAUUUGUAUUAGGUUGUUAUCAAGAAAUGAGAGGUCGCGUAAGUGUUUUAUUACGUGGGUUGCUUGUUUGUCUAAAUUUGUGUAUAUUCCUUUAUCACAGUAUGUGUGUAUUGAGUUUGAGGUGUCGUUACUUCAGUUUUUGUCACACUAUUUUGAUAUGAUUCUAUCAAAGAAAAUGAGAAGAUUGAUGAGUGUAUCAUUAGUGUUCUGUGUUUGUUGCAUAAAUUUUGUUAUUGUAUUAUCAUAAGAAAAUGAAAGAUUUGAUAGUGUUUAUUAGUGUCGCUUUGUUUUUGCUAAAUUUGUAUAUUGUUAUCUAUAUAUAUAAGCGUAAAUACAGGAAGAGUUGAUACGUAGUAGUAGAUGUUAGUGUUCUUGUUUUGCUAAUUUUGUAAUAUUGUUAUCAAGAAUGAAGUAAGGUCGAUAGUGUUAUUAGUGUUCUUGUUUUGGCUAAAUUUGUAAUAUUCUUAUCAACGAAAUCGAGAAGAUUGAUAGUGUUAUAGUGUUUCUUGUUUUGCUUAAUUUUGUAUAUUCUUAUCAAGAAAUAGAAGAUUGAUAGUGUUUAUAUUAGUGGGUUUCUUGGUUUUGCUAAUUUUGUAUAUUGUUGUCCAAGCAAUGAGAAGAUUGAUACUGUUUAUUAGUGUCUUGUUAUGCUAAAAUUUUGUAUAGUUAUCAAAAGAAAUGAAGAAAGAUUGAUAGUGUUAUUAGUGUUCCUUGUUUGCUAAUUUGUAUAUUGUUAUCAAGAAAUGAGAAGAUCGAUUGGUUUUAAGUGUUCUUGUUUUGCUAAUUUGUAAAAUAUUGUUGCCAAGAAAGGAGAAGAUGAUAGUGUUUACUUAGUGUUCUUGUUUUGCUAAAUUGUGUAUAUUGUUUGUCAAGAAUGAGAAGCUUGAAUAGUGUAUUAGUGUUUUGUUUUGCUAAAUUUUGUAUAUUGUUCAUCAAGAAAUGAGAAGAUGUAAUAGUGUUAUUAGAUGUUCUUUGUUUUGCUAAAUUUUGUAUAUGUAUCAAAAAUGAGAAGAUUGAUAGUGUUUAUUCGUGUUUCUUUGUUUUGCUAAAUUUUGUAUAUUGUUAUCCAGAAAUGCGAAGAUUGGAUAGUGUUUUUAGUGUUAUUGUUUUGCUAAAUUUUGUAUAUAUGUUUAUCAAGAAAUGAGUAGGUCGAUAGUGUUAUUAGUGUUUCUUGUUUUGCUAAAUUUGUAUAUUCUUAUCAAGAAAUGAGAAGAUUGAUAGUGGUUAUUAAGUGUUCUUGUUUUGCUAUAUUUGUAUAUUGGUUUAUCAAGAAAUGAGAAGAUUGAUAGUGUUAUUGUGUUAUUGUUUUGCUUAAAUUUUGUAAUUGUUGUCCAGAAUGAGAAAGAUUGGAAUAAUGUUAUUAUGUUCUUGUUAUGCCUAAAUUUUGAUAUUGUUAUCAGAUAUACGAGAAGAUUGAUAGUGUUUUUUAGUGUUCUGUUUUGCUAAAUGUGUAUAUUGUUAGUCAGGAUGAGAAGAUUGAUAGUGGUUAUUAGUGUUUUUGUUGCUAAAAUUUUGUAUAUUGUUAUCAAGAAAUGAGAAGAUUGAUUGAUUUAUUGUGUUCUUGUUUGCUAAAUUUUGUAUAUUGUUUAUCAAGAAAUGAGAAGAUUGAUAGUGUUAUUAGUGUUCUGUUUUGCUAAAUUUGUAUAUUGUUAUCAGAAAUGAGAAGAUUGAUAGUGUUAUAGGUGUUCUUGUUUUGCUAAAUUUUGUUAUUGUUAUCAAGAAAUGAGAAAGGUCGAUAGGUUUUAUUAGAGUGUUCUUGUUUUGCUANNNNUAUUUGUUAUCAAGAAUGAGAAGAUUGAUAGUGUUAUUAGUGUUCUUGUUUUGCUAAAUUUUGUAUAUUGUUAUCAAGAAAUGAGAAGAUUGAUAGUGUGAUUAGUGUUCUUGUUUUGCUAAAUUUUGUAUAUUGUUAUCAAGAAUGAGAAGAUUGAUAGUGUUAUUAGUGUUCUUGUUUUGCUAAAUUUUGUAUAUUGUUAUCAAGAAAUGAGAAGAUUGAUAGUGUUAUUAGUGUUCUUUGUUUUGCUAAAUUUUUUAUAUUGUUAUCAAGAAAUGAGAAGAUUGAUAGUGUUAUUAGUGUUCUUGUUUGCUAAAUUUUGUAUAUUGUUAUCAAGAAAUGAGAAGAUUGAUAGUGUUUUUGUGUUUUGUUUUGCUAAAUUUUGUAUAUUGUUAUCAAGAAAUGAGAAGUUGAUAGUGUUAUUAGUGUUCUUGUUUUGCUAAAUUUUGUAUAUUGUUAUCAGAAAUAGGAAGUUGAUAGUGUUAUUAGUGUUCUUGUUAUCAAGAAACGUUUGACGCUGACCCUUUAGCAAAAUCUCUCAAAAAUGAAAGGCAUUGCCAUGGGGAAUUCUCCAUGGCUUCUUUCAGUCAAAUAAGGAAUGGAAGAUCACAACCAAGUCGAUGUAAGCCAUGACGCACUGUUCGUUUGAUAUUUAUGAUGGCUUCAAAAGGCCACACCACUGCUUCUAUAUCCGUACCACAUUUUAGGACUCUAUUAUGUGAGUUAUUUCUUUGCUUCUUUUUUCUUAGCAUCUUACGUAUAUGUUAUCAAGAAAUGAGAGAUUGAUAGUGUUAUUAGUGUUCUUGUUUGCUAAAUUUUGUAUAUUGUUAUCAAGAAAUGAGAAGAUUGAUAGUGUUAUUAGUGUUUUGUUUAAAUUUUGUAUAUUGUUAUCAAAAUGAGAAGAUUGAUAGUGUAUGUGUCUGUUUGCUAAAUUUUUAUAUUGUUAUCAAGAAAGAGAAGAUUAUAGUGUUAUUAGUGUUCUUUUUUUGCUAAUUUGUAUAUUGUUAUCAAGAAAUGAGAAGAUUGAUAGUGUUAUUAGUGUUCUUGUUUUGCUAAUUUGAUAUUGUUAUCAAGAAAUGGAAGAUUGAUAGUGUUUAUUGUCUUCUUGUUUUGCUAAAUUUUGUAUAUUGUUAUCAAGAAAGUAGAAAGAUUGAUAGUGUUAUUAGUGUUCUUGUUUUGCUAAAUUUGUAUAUUGUUAUCAAGAAAUGAGAAGAUGAUAGUGUUAUUAGUGUUCUUGUUUUGCUAAAUUUAUAUUGUUAUCAAGAAAUGAGAAGAUUGAUAGUGUUAUUAUGUUCUUGUUUUGAUAAUUUUGUAUAUUGUUAUCAAGAAAGAGAAGAUGAUAGUGUUAUUAGUGUUCUUGUUUUGCUAAAUUUUGUAUAUGUUAUCAAGAAUGAGAAGAUUGAUAGGGUUAUUAGUUUCUUGUUUGCUAAAUUUUGUAAAUUGUUAUCAAGAAAUGAGAAGAUUGAUGUGUUAUUAGUGUUCUGUUUUGCAAAUUUUGUAUAUUGUUAUCAAGAAAUGAGAAGGUUGAUAGUGUUAUUAGUGUUCUUGUUUUGCUAAAUUUUUAUUGUUAUCAAGAAAUGAGAAGAUUGAUAGUGUUAUUAGUGUUCUUAUCAAGAAACGUUUGACGCUGACCCUUUAGCAAAAUCUCUCAAAAUGAAAGGCAUGCCAUGGGGAAUUCUCCAUGGCUUCUUUCAGUCAAAAAGGAUAUGGAAGAUCACACAAGUCGAUGUAAGCCAUGACCACUGUUCGUUUGAAUUUAUGAUGGUUUUCAAAGGCCACACCAUUGCUCUUCCUAUAUUCGUACGCCAUCUUUAGGACUCUAUUAUGUGGUUAUUUCUUGCUUUUUUUCUUUAGCAUACAAUCUUAUAUUGUUAUAGAAAAAAGAAAGAUUGAUAGUGUUAUUAGUGUUCUUGUUUUCUAAAUUUUGUAUAUUGUUAUCAAGAAAUGAGAAGAUUGAUAGUGUUAUUAGUGUUCUUUUGUAAAUUUUGUAUAUUGUUAUCAAGAAAUGAGAAGAUUGAUAGUGUAUUAGUGUUCUUGUUUUGCUAAAUUUGUAUAUUGUUAUCAAGAAAGAGAAAUUGAUAGUGUUAUUAGUGUUCUUGUUUUGCUAAAUUUUGUAUAUUGUUAUCAAGAAUGAGAAGAUUGAUAGUGUUAUUAGUGUUCUUGUUUGUCUAAAUUUUGUAAUUGUUAUCAAGAAAUGAGAAGAUUGAUAGUGUUAUUAGUGUUCUUGUUUUGCUAAAUUUUGUAUUUGUUAUCAAGAAAUGAGAAGGUUGAUAGUGUUAUUAGUGUUCUUGUUUUGCUAUUUUGUAUAUUGUUAUCAAGAAAUGAGAAGAUUGAUAGUGUUAUUAGUGUUCUUAUCAAGAAACGUUUGACGCUGACCCUUUGAAAUCUCUCAAAAAUGAAAGGCAUUGCCAUGGGAAUUCUCCAUGGCUUUCUGUUCAGUCAAAAGGAUAUGGAAGAUCACAACCAAGUCGAUGUAAGCAUGACCCUGUUUUCGUUUAUUUAUGAUGGUUCAAAGGCACACCAGCUUCUAUAUUCGUACGCACAUCUUUAGGAUUAUUAGUGAGUUAUUUCUUUGCUUCUUUUUCUUAGCAUACUAAUCUGUAUAUUGUAUCAGAAAAAGAAGAUUGAUAGUGUUAUUAGUGUUUUGUUUUUCUAAAUUUUGUAUAUUGUUAUCAAGAAAUGAGAAGAUUGAUAGUGUUAUUAGUGUUCUUUUUUGCUAAAUUUUGUAUAUUGUUAUCAAGAAAUGAGAAGAUUGAUAGUGUAUUUAGUGUUCUUGUUUUGCUAAAUUUUGUAUAUUGUUAUCAAGAAAUGAGAAGAUUGAUAGUGUUAUUAGUGUUCUUGUUUUGCUAAAUUUUGUAUAUUGUUAUCAAGAAAUGAGAAGAUUGAUAGUGUUAUUAGUGUUCUUGUUUUGCUAAAUUUUAUAUUGAUACAAGAAAUGAGAAGAUUGAUAGUGUUAUUAGUGUUCUUGUUGCUAAAUUUUGUAUAUUGUUCAAGAAAUGAGAAGAUUGAUAGUGUUAUUAGUGUUUUGUUUUGCUAAAUUUUGUAUAUGUUAUCAAGAAAUGAGAUAUGAGUGUAUUAGUGUUCUUGUUUUGCUAAAUUUGUAUAUUGUUAUCAGAAAAUGAGAAGUUGAUAGUGUUAUUAGUGUUCUGUUUUGCUUAUUUUGUAUAUUGUUAUCAAGAAAUGAGAAGAUUGAUAGUGUUUAUUAGUGUUUCUUGUUAUCAAGAAACGUUUGACCGCUGACCCUUUAGCAAAAUCUCUCAAAAAUGAAAGGCAUUGCCAUGGGGAAUUCUCCAUGGCUUCUAUUCAGUAAAAUAAGGAUAUGGAAGAUUGUUAUUAGUGUUCUUGUUUUGCAAAAUUUUGUAUAUUGUUAUCAAGAAAUGAGAAGAUUGAUAGUGUUAUUAGUGUUCUUGUUUUGCUAAAUUUUGUAUAUUGUUAUCAAGAAAUGAGAAGAUUGAGAGUGGUAUUAGUGUUCUUGUUUUGCUAAAUUUUGUAUAUUGUUAUCAAGAAAUUAGAAGUUUGAUAGUGUUAUUAGUGUUCUUGUUUUGCUAAAUUUUGUAUAAUUUUAUCAAGAAAUGAGAAGAUUGAUAGUGUUAUUAGUGUUCUUGUUUUGCUAAAUUCUAUAUAUUGUUAUCAAGAAAUGAGAAGAUUGAUAGGGUUAUUAGUAUUCAUGUUUUGCUAAAUAUUGUAUAUUGUUAUCAAGAAAUGAGUAGAUUGAUAGUGUUAUUAGUGUUCUUGUUUUGCUAAAUUUUGUAUAUUGUUAUCAAGAAAUUAGAAGAUUGAUAGUGUUAUUAGUGUUCUUGUUUUGCUAAAUUUUGUAUAUUGUUAUCAAGAAAUGUGAGAAGAUUGAUAGUGUUAUUAGUGUUUCUUGUUUUUGCUAAAUUUUGUAUAUUUUAUCAAGAAAUGAGAAGAUUGAUAGUGUUAUUAGUGUUCUUGUUUUGCUAAAUUUGUAUAUUGUUUCAAGAAAUGAGAAGAUUGAUAGUGUUUAUUAGUGUUCUGUUUGCUAAAUUUUGUAUAUGUUAUCAAGAAAUGAGAAGAUUGAUAGUGUUAUUAGUGUUCUUGUUUUGCUAAAUUUUGUAUAUUGUUAUCAAGAAUGAGAAGAUGUGUGUGUUUUAUUAGUUCUUGUUUUGCUAAUUUUGUAUUGUUCAAGAAAUGGAGAAGAUGAUAGGUGUUUAUUGUGCUUCUUUUGCUAAAUUGUAUAUUGUUUCAAAAAAUGAGAAGAUGAUAGUGUUUUAUGUGUUCUUUUUUUGCUAAAUUUUGUAUAUUGUUAUCAAGAAAUGAGAAGAUUGAUAGUGUAUUAGUGUUCUUGUUUUGCUAAAUUUGUAUAUUGUUAUCAAGAAAUGGAGAAGAUUGAUAGUGUUAUUGUAGUGUUCUUGUUUUGCUAAAUUUUGUAUAUUGUUAUAAGAAAUGAGAGAGUUGAUAGUGUUAUUAGUGUUCUUUGGUUUGCUAAAUUUUGUAUAUUUGUUAUCAAGAAAUGAGAAGUAUGAGAUAGUGUUAGUUAGUGUUCUUGUUUUGCUGAAUUUUUGUAUAUUGUUAUCAAGAAAUGAGAAGAUUGAUAGUGUUAUUAGUGGUUUUCGUUUUGCUAAAUUUUGUAUAUUGUUUCAAGAAUGAGAAGAUUGAUAUGUUAUUAGUGUUCUUGUUUGCUAAAUUUGUAUAUUGUUAUCAAGAAUGAGAAGAUUGAAUAGUGUUAUUAGUGUUCUUGUUUUGCUAAAUUUUGUAUAUUGUUUAUCAAGAAAUGAGAAGUGAUAGUGUUUAUUAGUGUUCUUGUUUUGCUAAAUUUUGUAUAUUUUAUCAAGAAUGAGAAGAUUGAUAGUGUUAUUAGUGUUCUUGUUUUGCUAAAUUUUGUAUAUUGUUAUCAAGAAUAGAAGAUUGAUAGUGUUAUUAGUGUUCUUGUUUUGCUAAAUUUUGUAUAUUGUGUCAAAGAAAUGAGAAGAUUGAUAGUGUUAUUAGUGUUCUUUGUUUGCUAAAAUUUGUAUAUUGUUAUCAAGAAAUGAGAAGAUUGAUAGUGUUAUUAGUGUUCUUGUUUUGCUAAAUUUGUAUAUUGUUUAUCAAGAAAUGAGAAGAUUGAUAGUGUUAUUAGUGUUCUUGUUUUGCUAAAUUUUGUAUAUUGUUAUCUAAGAAAUGAAGAAGAUUGAUAGUGUUAUUAGUGUUCUUGUUUUGCUAAAUUUUGUAUAUUGUUAUCAAGAAUAAUGAAGUACGAUAGUGUUAUUAGUGUUCUUGUUUUGCUAAAUUUUGUAUUAUUGUUAUCAAGAAAUGAGAGAUUGAUAGCUGUAUUAGUGUUCUUGUUUUGCUAAAUUUUGUAUAUUGUUAUCAAGAAAUGAGAAGAUUGAUAGUGUUAUUAGUGUUCUUGUUUUUUUGCUAAAUUCUAUAUAUUGUUAUCAAGAAAUGAGAAGAUUGAUAGGGUUAUUAGUAUUCAUGUUUUGCUAAAUUUUGUAUAUUGUUAUCAAGAAAUGAGAAGAUUGAUAGGGUUAUUAUUGUUCUCGUUUUGCUAAAUUUUGUAUAUUCUUAUCAAGAAAUAAGAAGAUUGAUAGUGUUGUUAGUGUUCUUGUUUUGCUAAAUUUUGUAUAUUGUUAUCAAGAAAUGAGAAGCUUGAUAGUGUUAUUAGUCGUCUUGUUUUUCUAAAUUUUGUAUAUUAUUAUCAAGAAAUGAGAAGGUUGAUAGUGUUAUUAGUGUUCUUGUUUUGCUAAAUAUUGUAUAUUGUUAUCAAGAAAUGAGAAGAUUGAUAGUCUUAUUAGUGUUCUUGUUUUGCUAAAUUAUGUAUACUGUUAUCAAGAAAUGAGAAGAUUGAUAUUGUUAUUAGUGUUCUUGUUUUGCUAAAUUUUGUAUAUUGUUAUCAAGAAAUGAGAAGAUUGAUAGUGUUAUUAGUGUUCUUGUUUUGCUAAAUUUUGUAUAUUGUUAUCAAGAAAUGAGAAGAUUGAUAGUGUUAUUUGUGUUCUUGUUUUGCUAAAUUUUGUAUAUUGUUAUCAAGAAAUGAGAAGAUUAAUAGUGUUAUUAGUGUUCUUGUUUUGCUAAAUUUUAUAUAUUGUUAUCAAGAAAUAGGAAGGUUGAUAGUGUUAAUAGUUUUCUUGUUUUGCUUAAUUUUGUAUAUUGUUGUCAAGAAAUGAGAAGAUGAUAGUGUUAUUAGUGUUCUUGUUAUCAAGAAACGUUUGAAGCUGACCCUUUAGCAAAAUCUCUCAAAAAUGAAAGGCAUUGCCAUGGGGAAUUCUCGAUGGCUUCUAUUCAGUCAAAUAAGGAUAUGGAAGAUCACAACCAAGUCGAUGUAAGUCAUGACGUGAGUUAUUUCUUUGCUUCUUUUUUCUUAGCAUACUACUCUGUAUAUUAUUAUCAAGAAAUGAGAAGAUUGAUAGUGUUAUUAGUGUUCUUGUUUUGCUAAAUUUUGUAUAUUGUUAUCAAGAAAUGAGAAGAUUGAUAUUGUUAUUAGUGUUCUUGUUUUGCUAUAUUUUGUAUAUUGUUAUAAAGAAAUGAGAAGAUUGAUAGUGUUAUUAGUGUUCUUGUUUUGCUAAAUUUUGUAUAUUGUUAUCAAGAAAUGAGAAGAUUGGUAGUGUUAUUAGUGUUCUUGUUUUGCUAAAUUNNNNNNNNNNNNNNNNNNNUGCAAGAGGAAAUUUCUUUCUCUUGAAAAAUGCAAGGCUUGCCAUGUACUGUGCGAAUCCCAUAGAGCUUCCUCCUAGUUUUCAGUCCAGAAACUCUUAAGUUGGGAUAUGGAAGAUCACAACCAAGUCGAUGUAACUCAUACGCACUGUCGUUGAUUAUGAUGGAUUCAAAGGCCACACCACUGCUUUCUAAUCCGUACGUCAACAUCUUUGAGGACGUCUAUUACGUGAGUUAUUCUUUGCUUCCCCUUUUUCUUAGCAUACUUAUCUAUAUAUUUUUUAUCAAAGGAUAAUAGUAAGAUUGAUAGUGUUAUAGUGUCGAUUGUUUUGCCUAAUUGUUGCGUAUAUGUAUCCAUACUCCAAAGAGAAGAUUGUAAUAUUAGUUAGUGUUCGUGUCUUUUGCUAAAAUUUUAUUUAUCAAGAAACGAGAGAGGAUUGAUAGUGCUGAUUUUAGUAGUUUCUUGUUUACGUAAAAUUGUAGACUUAUUUCAAGAAAUGAGAAAGAUUGAUAAAUGUUAUUAGUUUUGCUUGUUUUGCUUAAAUUUGCUGAUGUUAUCAAGAAAUAUAGAUGAUAGUGUUAUUAGUGUGCUUGUUUUUCUAAAUUUGUAUAUUUAUUCAAGAAAUGAGAAGGUUGAUAAGUAUUUAAGUUUCUUGUGUUGCUAAAUUUUUAUAUUGUUUUUAGCAAAGGAAAUUGAGAAGGUUGAUAGUGUUAUUAGUAUUCUUGUUUUGCUACAAUUUUGUUAUUGUUACUCAAGAAAUGAGAAGAUGAUAGUGUUAUUUAGUGAUUCUUGGGGUUUACAAAGGAAACGUUGACGUCUGACCUAUGCUCUCAUUAAAAUUCUCUGGGAAAAAUGAACAGCAUUGCCUAGAGAAGUUUCCAUGCUGCUCUUCAGUCAAAUAAGGGAUAUGGAAGAUUCACAACCAAGCGAGUAUAGCCAUGAGCGCUACUAAUUUCGUUGGAAAUUAUGAUGGCUUCAGAACGCCACACGCUGUCUUCCUUUUUAUCCGUGACGCACAUCUUUAGGACCUUCUAUUCGGGGAGUUAGUGUCUUUGCUUUCUUUUUUCUUAGGCUAUACUUUAUCUGUAGGUAUUGUUCAUUCCAAUAUUAAGCUAGAUUUUGAGAUAGUGUGGUUUAGUGUUCUUGUUUUGCUAAAUUAUAUAUUGUUAUCAAGUAAAUGAGAGAGUGGAUAAGUGUUAUUGGUGGUUUCUUGUUUUGCUAAAUGUGUGGUAUAUUGUAUCAAGAAAUGUAGAAGAUUUGAAGUGUUAUUUGUGUUCUUGUUGUGACUAAAUCUACUAAACAAUUUGUCUUAUUGUUAUCAAGAAGAUGAGAAGAUUGAUAGUGUUAUUAAUGUUGUGAGUUGCUAAAUUUGGCUUUUGUUACUCAAGAAAUCGAGAAAGAUUGAUAGUCGUUAUUAGUGUUCUUGUUGCUAAAUUUUGUAUAUUUUACCCAAAGAAAUGAUGAAGAUUGAUAGUUGUUAUUAGUGGUUCUUGUUUUGCUAAAUUGGUAUAUUGUUAUCAGAAAUCGAAGAAGGAUUUAUAGUGUUAUUAGUGUUCUUGUUUUGCGUUAAAUUGUAUAUUAUUAUCAAGAAAUGAGAAGGUUGAUAGUCGGGUAGUUAGUGUCUCUCUCGUUUUGCUAAAUUUUGUUAUGUUAUCAAGGAAAUGAGAAGAUUGAUAGUGUUAUUAGUGUUCUUUUAUUAUUUCAAGAAACGUUUCGAAGCUGACCCUUGAUAGCGAAAUCUCUCAAAAGAAAGCAUGCACAUAAAGGACGAAAUUCUCCAAUUGGCUUUGCUAGUCAUCAAAAAGGAAUGGAAGACACAACCAAAGUGGCUAUGUAAGUCAUGACGCACUGUUCGUUUGAAUUUAGUGUAUGGCUUCACAAGGCCACACCCCGAACGCUUCCUGAUAUUGCGGUACGGCCACAUCUUUAGGACUCUAUUACGUCGAGUUAUUUCUUUGCUUCUUUGGUUUCUUAGCAGACUAACUACUGAUCUAUUGUUAUCAAGAAAUGAGAAAAAGAUAUGAUAGUGUUAGUAGUGUCAAUGUGUUUCGCUAAAUUUUGUAUAUUGUUAUCAGAAAUGAGAAGGAGUUUCUAGUGUUCAUCUAAGCUGUUCUUGUUUUUUCUGUAAUUAGUUAUAUUGUGUAUCAAGAAAUGAGACGAUUGAUUAGUUGAUUACCGUGUUCUUAUUAUUGCCUAAAUUUUGUAUAUUGUUUCAAGAACAUAGAAGAUUGAUAAUUUAUAGUGUUUUCUCUGUUUGCUAAUUUGUAUACGUAUAUUCAAUGAAUAGGAAGGAUUGAUAGUGUUAUUAGUGUUCUUGUUUGCUAAACUUUCGUGUAUAUUGUAUAUCCAAGCAAAUGAGAAUGAUUAUAGUUGUUAUUAGUGUUCUUGUUUUGCGCUAAAUUUGUAUAUGUUAUCAAGAAAUGAGAAGAUUGAUAUGUGUUAUUAUGUUGUUCUUGUUUUGCUAAAUUACUGUAUAUUGUAUCAAAAAAUGAGAAGAUUUGAUAGCUAGUUAUUGUGUUCUUUCUCGUGUUUUGCUAAAUUUGUAUAUAUGUUAUCAAGAAAUAGGAAGUUGAUAGUGUUAUUAGCUGUUCUUGGUUUUUAUAAAUUAUUGUAUAUUUAUGUAAGAAAUGAGAAGAUUGAUAUGUUAUUAGUGUUCUUGUCUUUUUUGCUAAAUUUGAUAUUGUAUCAAGAAAUGGAGAACUGAUUGAUAGUGUUUAGUGUUUAGUCAUUGUUUUGCUAAUAUGUAUACUUUGUAUCAAGAAAUGAGAGAUUGAUAGUUGAUAGGUGUUCUUGUUUUAGCUAAUAUUGUAUAUUGUUAUCAAGAAAUGAGAAGCAUUGAUAGUGUUAUUAGUGUUCUUGCUUUUGCCUAAAUUGUAUAUUGUUAUCAAGAAAUGAGAAGAUGGAUGAUAGUGUUAUUAGUGUUCUAUUUUUUGCUAAAUUUUCGCUAUAUUGAUUAUCAAGAAAUGAGAAGAUUGAUAGUGAUUUAGUGUUCUUCUUUUGCUAAAUUUUGUUAUAUUGUUUAUUAUCAAAAAGUGAGAAGAGUGAUAGAUUAGUUGUCGUUCUUGUUUUGCUUAAUUGGUAUAUUGUUAUCAAGAAAUAGAGAAGAUUGAUUAGUGUUAUUAGUGGUUUCUUGUUUUGCUAAAUUUGUAUAUUGUGUAUCAAGAAAUUGAGAGAUUGAUAGUGUAUUAGUGUUCUGUUUUGCUAAAUUUGCGUAUAUUGUUAGCAAGAAGUGAGCAAGGAUUUACUAGUGUUAUUAGGUUUCUUGUUAUUGCUAAAUUUUUGUAUAAUUAUUAAUCAAGAGAAUCGAGAAGGUUGAUAGUGGAUUAGUGCUUUCUUUUUUGCCUUAAAUUUUGUAUAUGCUUAUCUUAAUGAGAAUGAGAAGAUUGAGUGUGAUAAGUGAUUUCUAUGUUUUGCUAAUAUUUCCGUAAUAUUUUUAUCAAGAAAUGUAGAAGAUUUGAUAGUUGUAUAGAUGCCUUCUGUGUGUGCUCUAAAUUUGUAUAUUGUUACAAGAGAGAGAACAAGAUUGAUAGUGUUAUGGUGGGGUAGUGUUCUUGUUUGCUAUAAUUUGGCUAUAUUGUUAUCAAGAAAUAGAAAUUUAGAGGUAUUAGUGUUCUCGUUUUUGCAAAUUUUGUAUAUUAUUAUCAGAAUGAGAAGGUUGAUAGUGUUAUUAGUGUUCGUGUUUUGCUAAAUUUUGUUAUUGUUAUCAAGAAAUGAGAGAAUUGAUAGUGUUAUUAGUGUGCUAUAUCAAGAAACGUUUGACGACUGACCCUUUAGCAAAAAUCUGCUCAAAAAGUUGAAAGGCCCAUUGAUAGGGAAUUCUCCAGUGGCAUUCUAUCACCCCAAAUCAAGGAUAUGAAGCAUCAAAGCAGAACCAAGUCUUAUGUAAGCUAUGACGCACUGUUCGUUUGAAAUUUAUUGAUGGUCUUCAAAGGCCACACAGACUGCUUCCUAUAUUCGUAGCACAUCUUUAGGACACCUCCUAUACGUGGAGUUAUUUUCUUUGUUCUUUUUUCUCCUUUAGCAUACUAAUAUGUAACGGUUAGCAAAGAAUAGAGAAAGAAUUGAUAGUGUUAUUAGUGUUCUUUCUGCCCUAAUUGUAAUGUGUUAGUCAGAAAUGAGAAGAUUGUAGUGUUAUAGUUGUUCUCUCUUGCUAAAUUGGUAUAUUUUAUCAGAAAUGAGAAGAUUUAUAGUGUAUCUCCUGCUCUUGUUGUGCUAAUUCUCGUAUAUUAUUAUCAUAGUAAAUGAGGAAGCGUUGAUAGUGUAUUAGUCGUUCUUGUUAUGGCAUAAAAUAUUUAUUCUCUUGUAUAUUGUAGUUCAAGAAAAUGAGAGAUUGAGUGGUUAAUAAUUGUUCUUGUUAUUGCUAAAUUUGGAUAUUGUUUCAAGAAAUGAGAAGAUUGAUAGUCGUUAUUAGUGUUCUUGUUUUGCUAAAUUUUGUAUAUUGUUUACCCAGAAGAGAGAGCAUGUUGAUAGUGUUAUUAGUGUGCCUUUGCUAUUGUAUAUUGGUAUCAAGAAAUGAGAAGAUUGUUAUAGUGUUAUUAGUGUUUCGUUUUUGCUAAAUUUGUAUGAUUAUUUAUCAAGAAAUGAGAGGUUAUGUAGUUUAUUAGAUGUUCUUGUUUUGCAAAUUUGUAUAUUGUAUCAAGAACAUGAGAAGGAUGGGAUAGUGUUAUUUAAGUGUUCUGAUUAUCAAGAAAACGUUUGACGCUUGACCCUUAGCAAAAUCCUCAAAAUAUGAAAGGCAUUUGGCCAGUCGGAAUCUCAUGGCUUCUAUUCAGUCAAAUAAGGAAUAUGGAAGAUUCAGCACACCUAAGUCUUGUCCAAGUCAUGAACGCACUGUGUCGUGUUGAAGUGAGGAGAUGGCUUCAGAAGCGCCACACACUGCUUCCUAUGAUUCGUACGCACAUCUGUGGACUCUAUUGGUACGUGAGUUAUUUCUUUGCUUCUUUUUUCUAGCAUACUAAUAUGUAUAUGUUUAUCAAGAAUGAGAAGAUGAUCAGUUGUUAUUAGUGUUCUUGUUUGCUAAAUUUUUGUAUAUUAGGUUAUCAAGAAAUGAGAAAGAUGAUAUGUAAAGAUGUUCUUGCUUUGCUAAGUUUUGUAUUUUUAUCAAGAAUGAAGACGAUUGAUAGUUGUGAUUAGUGUUCUUAUUUUGCCUCAACAUUUCGCUCCUCCUUGUUAACAGAAAAGGAUGAUUGAUGAGAUGUUAGAGUGUUCCUUGUUUUGCCUAAAUUUUGUAUAUCGUAUCAAUAAAUGAGGAAGAUUGAUAGUGUUUUAUUAGUGUUCUUGUUUGUGUAAAUUUUGUAUAUUGAUAUCAAAGAAAAUGGAGAAGAUGAUAGUGGUUAUUAGUUUCUUGUUUUGCCCUUAAUUUUGUAUAUUGUUAUCAAGAAAAUGAGAAGAAUUGAUAGUGUUAUUUGUGUUCUUGUUUUGCUAAAUUUUUAGUAUAUUGUUAUCAAAAAAUCAGAAGAUGAUAGUCGUUAUUAUGUUCUUGUUUGCUAAAUUUUGUAUAUUGUUAUCAAAGAAAAUAGAAGGUUGAUAUUAUUAGUUUUCUGUUUUGUUUAAUUUUGUAUAUUGUUUAUCAAGAAAUGAGAAGAUAAGAUUGAUAGUGUUAUUUGUGUUCUUGUUUUGCUAAAUUUUGUAUAUUGUUAUCAAGAAAUGAGAAGAUUAAUGGUGUUAUUAGUGUUCUUGUUUUGCUAAAUUUUAUAUAUUGUUAUCAAGAAAUAGGAAGUUUGAAAGUGUUAAUAGUUUUCUUGUUUUGCUAAAUAUUGUAUAUUGUUAUCAAGAAAUGAGAAGAUUGAUAGUGUUAUUAGUGUUCUUGUUUUGCUAAAUUAUGUAUAUUGUUAUCAAGAAAUGAGAAUAUUGAUAUUGUUAUUAGUGUUCUUGUUUUGAUAUAUUUUGUAUAUUGUUAUAAAGAAAUGAGAAGAUUGAUAGUGUUAUUAGUGUUCUUGUUUUGCUAAAUUUGGUAUAUUGUUAUCAAGAAAUGAGAAGAUUGGUAGUGUUAUUAGUGUUCUUGUUUUGCUAAAUUUUGUUUAUUGUUAUCAAAAAAUGAGAAGAUUGAUAGUGUUAUUAGUGUUCUUGUUUUGCUAAUAUUUGUAUAUUGUUGUCAAGAAAUUAGAAGAUUGAUAGUGUUAUUAGUGUUCUUGUUUUGCUAAAUUUUGUAUAUUGUUAUCAAGAAAUGAGAAGAUUGAUAGUGUUAUUAGUGUUCUUGUUUUUCUAAAUNNNNNNNNNNNNNNNNNNNNNNNNNNNNNNNNNNNNNNNNNNNNNNNNNNNNNNNNNNNNNNNNNNNNNNNNNNNNNNNNNNNNNNNNNNNNNNNNNNNNNNNNNNNNNNNNNNNNNNNNNNNNNNNNNNNNNNNNNNNNNNNNNNNNNNNNNNNNNNNNNNNNNNNNNNNNNNNNNNNNNNNNNNNNNNNNNNNNNNNNNNNNNNNNNNNNNNNNNNNNNNNNNNNNNNNNNNNNNNNNNNNNNNNNNNNNNNNNNNNNNNNNNNNNNNNNNNNNNNNNNNNNNNNNNNNNNNNNNNNNNNNNNNNNNNNNNNNNNNNNNNNNNNNNNNNNNNNNNNNNNNNNNNNNNNNNNNNNNNNNNNNNNNNNNNNNNNNNNNNNNNNNNNNNNNNNNNNNNNNNNNNNNNNNNNNNNNNNNNNNNNNNNNNNNNNNNNNNNNNNNNNNNNNNNNNNNNNNNNNNNNNNNNNNNNNNNNNNNNNNNNNNNNNNNNNNNNNNNNNNNNNNNNNNNNNNNNNNNNNNNNNNNNNNNNNNNNNNNNNNNNNNNNNNNNNNNNNNNNNNNNNNNNNNNNNNNNNNNNNNNNNNNNNNNNNNUGUUCUUGAGAUUUACCUGUAUAUUGUUAAUGAAGAAAUGAAGAAGAUUGAUUUAGUGUUAUUAGUGUCUUGUUUUGCUAAAUUUUGUAUAUUGUUAUCAAGAAUGAGAAGAUUGAUAGUGUUUAUUAGUGGUUCUUGUUUUGCUAAAUUUUGUAUAUUGUUAUCAAGAAAUGAGAAGAUUGAUAGUGUUUAUUAGUGUUCUUGUUUUGCUAAAUUUUGUAAUUUUGUUAUCAAGAAAAUGAGAAAGGUAGAUGUUAUUAAGUGUCUUGUUUUGGCUAAUUUUGUAUAUUGUUAUCUAAGAAAUGAGAAGAUUGAUAGUGUUAUUAGUGUUCUUGUUUUGCUAAAUUUGUAUAUUGUUAUCAAAGAAAUGAGAAAGAUUGAAUAGUGUUAUUAGUGUUCUUGUUUUGGCUAAUUUUGUAUAUUUGUUAUCAAGAAAUAGAAGAUUGAUAGUGUUAUUAGUGUUCUUUUUGCUAAAUUUUGUAUAUUGUUAUCAAGAAAUGAGAAGAUUGAUAGUGUUAUUAGUGUUCUUGUUUGCUAAAUUUUGUAUAUUGUUAUCAAGAAAUGAGAAAGAUUGAUAGUGUUAUUAGUGUUCUUGUUUUGCUAAAUUUUGUAUAUUGUUAUCAAGAAAUGAGAAGAUUGAUAUGUGUUAUUAGUGUUCUUGUUUUGCUAAAUUUUUGUAUAUUGUUAUCAAGAAAUAGAGAAGAUUGAUAGUGUUAUUAGUGUUCUGUUUUGCUAAAUUUUGUAUAUUGUUAUCAAGAAAUGAGAAGAUUGAUAGUGUUAUUAGUGUUCUUGUUUUGCUAAAUUUUGUAUAUUGUUAUCAAGAAAUUGAGAAAGAUUGAUAGUGUUAUUAGUGUUCUUGUUUUGCUAAUUUUUUGUAUAAAUUGUUAUCAGAGAAAUGAGAAGAUUGAAGUGUUACUAUAGUGUUCUUGUUAUCAAAACAUUAACAGCUGACAAUCCCUUUACCAAAUCUCCCAAAUGAAAGGCAUUGCGCAUGGGAAUUCUCCAUAGCUCUGUUAGUGCAGAAUAUGGGAUAAUGUGGUAUAGAUACACAAACUAGGACGGAUGUAGCCAUGACGCACUGUAUCGUUCGGGAAUUUAUGAUGGCUCUCAAAGGCCACACCGCCGCUGGCUUCCUAUAUCCCGUACGCACAUCUUAGGACGCGGGUAUUACGUGAUUUAUUUUUUUGCUCUUUAACCACUUACCUGUAUACUUGUUAUGAGAAAUGAAAGGAUUUAUAGUGUUAUUAGUGGUUCUGUAAAUUGCGCUAAAUUUGUAAUAAUGUCUAAAGAAAAUGAGAAGAAUCUGAUAGUUUAUUAGUGUUCUUGUUUGCUAAAUUUGGUAUAUGUGUCAGAAAUAAGGAAGAUUGAUAUGUUGUAGUGUUCUGUUUUGCUAAAUUGUAUAGUUAUCACAGAAAUGAGAAAGAUUGAUACUUAUUAUUUCUUUUUUGCCAAAUUGUAUAUUAUAAAAUGAGAAAUGAUGGUAUAUUAUUGUGUUGUUGUUUUGCUAAAUUUUGUACUAUCUAGUUAUCAUGAAAUUAGAGAUUAUAUAGGUCGUUGGAAUUGUAAUUUCUGUCUAUGUUAAUCUUUUGCUAAAUUGUAUAUUGUUAUCAAGAAAUGAAAAUGAUUUUAUUUUUUGUGUUCUAAUUUGGUUAUGGCUGAAAUAAGUGAUAUUAUUGUGUUGUCAAAAAUGAUAUCUGACAAUAAAUGAUAGAUUAAAUGUCUGUGUUUUGCUAAAUUUGUAUACAUGUUAUCCUAAAAAUGAGAACAUGGAUAAGUGUUACAUAGUGUUCUUACGUUUGUUGGAAAUUUGUAUAUUGUUAUCAGAAUGGAAGAAUUGAAUAGUGUUAUUAGUGUUCUUGUUUUGCCUAAUUUUUGUAUAUUUUACAAGAAAUGAGAAAUGAUAGUGUAUUAGUGUUCUUGUGGUUUGCUAAUUUGUCAUAAUGUUAAUCCAGAAAGAGAAAUCUGAUCAUGUAUAUAGUUCUUGUUUGGCUACAAAUUUGUUAUUAUUAUCAAGAAAAGAAUAGUUAUAGUUUCUUUGUUUUGCUAAAUUUGUAAUAUUUUGUCAAGAAAAUAAAAUUGAUAGUUAUUAGUGCUUGUUGCAAACUUUAUAAUUGUUAUCAAGAAUGCAAAAGAUCGGAUAGCUGUUAUAGUUUCUUGUGUUUGCUAAUAUUUGUAUAUUCUUUACAGGAAAUAGAAGAUAGAUAUGGUUAUAGUUCUUGUUUGCUAAAUUGUGCUAUAUGAUUAUCAAGAAAUGAAAAAAACUUGGAUAGUGUUAUAUAUGUUUCUGUUUUUGCUAAAUUUAAGUUAUUGUUACCAAGAAGAGAAGAUUUGAUAGUGUUAUUAGUCGUUCUGUUUUGCUAUUUGUAUGAUGGUUUGCAAGAAAUAGCAAGAUUGGAUAGUGUUAUAGUGUCUUCGUUUGCUAAAUUAGUCAUAUUGUUCAAAGAAAUGAGAAAUUGAAGUAUGUCGGUUCAAAUGUAUUUAUAAGAGAUGUUGUACCUGCUUUUGCUAAAUUGUUGUAUAAUUGUAUCAAUGAAAAAAGAUGAAAUGUUGAUUAGUGUCUCUUGUUUUGCUAAAUAUUGUAUAUUGUUAUCAAGAAAGAAGAGAUUGAUAUGUUGUUAGGUUCUUAGUUUUGCUAAUUUUGUUAUCAUGUUUAUAAAGAAAUGAGAAGAUUGAUAGUUUAUUAAGUGUUCUUGUUCGUAAAUUUGUAAUUUAUUUCAAGAAAUGAGAAAGUGAUAGUGUUAUUAGUGUUCUGUUUGCCUAAAUUUUGUAUAUUGUUAUCAAGUAAAAAUGAGAAGAUUGAUAUUAAUUAGUUUAUUGUUUGCUAAAUUUGUAUAUUGUUAUCAAGAAAUCAGAAGAUGAUUAGUGUUAUUAGUGAUCUUUGUUUCCCUAAAUUUUGUAAUAUCUUAUCAAGAAAUGAGAAAUGAAUGUUUAUAGUGUCUUGUUUGCUAAAUUUUAUAUAUUUUAUCAAGAAAUAGAAGAUGAAGUGUUAAUUAGUGUUCUUGUUUUGCUAAAUUUUGAUUAUAUUUGUCAAGAAAUGAGAAGAUUGAUAAAUGUUAUUAGUGUUCUUGUUUGCUAAAAUUUUGUAUAUUGUUAUCAAGAAAUGAGAAGAUGAUAGUGUAUAUAGUGUUUCUUUUGUUUUGCUAAAUUUUGUAUAUGUAUACAAAAAUUAGAAGAUCGAUAGUGUUAUUAGUGUUCCUUGUUUUGCUAAAUUUUGUAUAUUGUUAUCUCAAAGAAAUGAGAAGAUUGAUAGUGUUAUUAGUGUUCUUGUUUUGCUAAAUUUUGUAUAUUGUUAUCAAGAAAUGAAGAAGAUUGAUAGUGUUAUUAGUGUUCUUGUUUUGCUAAAUUUUGUAUAUUGUUAUCAAGAAAUGAGAAGAUUGAUAUGUUAUUAGUGUUUGUUUUUGCUAAAUUUGUAUAUUGUUAUCAAGAAAUAGAAGAUUGAUAGUGUUAUUAGUGUUCUUGUUUGCUAAAUUUUGUAUAUUGUUAUCAAGAAAUGAAGAGAUUGAUAGUGUUAUUAGUGUUCUUGUUUUGCUAAAAUUUUGUAUAUUGUUAUCAAGAAAUGAGAAGAUUGAUAGUGUUAUUAGUGUUCUUGUUUUGCUAAUUUUGUAUAUUGUUAUCAAAGAAAUGAGAAGAUUGAUAUGUUUUAGUGUCUUCGUUUUGCUAAAUUUUUGUAUAUUGUAUCAAAGAAAUGAGAAGAUUGAUAGUGUUAUUAGUGUUCUUGUUUGCUAAAUUUUGUAUAUUGUUAUCAAGAAAUGAGAAGAUGAUAGUGUUAUUAGUGUUUCUUGUUUUGCUAAAUUUUUGUAUAUUUUUAUCAAGAAAUGAGAGAUUGAUAGUGUUAUUAGUGUUUGUUUUGCUAAUUUGUAUAUUGUUAUCAGAAAUGAGAAGAUUGAUAGUGUUAUUUAGUGUUCUUGUUUUCCUAAAUUUUGUAUAUUUUAUCAAGAAAUGAGAAGAUUGAUAGUGUUAUUAGUGUUCUUGUUUGCUAAAUUUUAUAUUGUUAUCAAGAAAUGAGAAGAUUGAUAGUGUUAUUAGUGUUCUUGUUUUGCUAAAUUUUGUAUAUUGUUUUCAAGAAAUGAGAAGAUUGAUAGUGUUAUUAGUGUUCUUGUUUUGCUAAAUUUUGUAUUAUUGUUAUCAAGAAAAUGAGAGAUGAUAUGUAUUAGUGUUCUUGUUUUGCUAAAUUUGUAUAUUGUUAUCAAAGAAAUGAGAAGAUUGGAUAGUGUUAUUAGUGUUCUUGUUUUGCUAAAUUUUGUAUAUUGUUUCAAGAAAUGAGAAGAUUGAUAGUGUUAUUAGUGUUCUUGUUUUGCUAAAUUUUGUAUAUUGUUAUCAAAGAAAUGAGAAGAUUGAUAGUGUUAUAGUGUUCUUGUUUUGCUAAAUUUUGUAUAUUGUUAUCAAGAAAUGAGAAGAUUGAUAGUGUUAUUAGUGCUUGUUUUGCCUAAAUUUUGUAUAUUGUUAUCAAGAAAUGAGAAGAUUGAUAGUGUUAUUAGUGUUCUUGUUUUGCUAAAUUUUGUAUAUUGUUAUCAGAAAUGAGAAGAUUUGAUAGUGUUAUUAGUGUUCUUGUUUUGCUAAAUUUUAUAUUGUUAUCAAGAAAUGAGAAGAUUGAUAGUGUUAUUAGUGUUCUUGUUUUGCUAAAUUUGUAUAUUGUUAUCAAGAAAUGAGAAGAUUGAUAGUGUUAUUAGUGUUCUUGUUUUGCUAAAUUUUGUAUAUUGUUAUCAAGAAUGAGAAGAUUGAUAGUGUUAUUAGUGUUCUGUUUUGCUAAAUUUUGUAUAUUGUUAUCAAAGAAAUGAGAAGAUUGAUAGUGUUAUUAGUGUUCUUGUUUUGCUAAAAUUUAGUAUAUUGUGUAUCAAUAAGAAUGAGAAGAUUGAUAGUGUUAUGAUGUUCUUGUUUGCUAAAUUUUGUAUAUUGUUAUAGAAAUGAGAAGAUUGAUAGUGUAUUAGUGUUCUUGUUUUGCUAAAUUUUGUAUAUUGUUAUCAAGAAAUGAGAAGGUUGAUAGUGUUAUUAGUGUUCUUGUUUUUGCUAAUUUUGUAUAUUGUUAAUGCAAGAAAUGAGAAGAUUGAUAGUGUUAUUAGUGUUCUUUUGUCUUGAAUAUUUUUAUUUGUUACAAGAAAUUGAGAGAUUGAUAGUGUUUAUUUUGUGUUUCUUGUAUCAAGAAACGUUGGACGCUGACCCUUUAGCAAAUCUCUCAAAAAUGAAAGCUUUGCUAAUUUUGUAUAUUGUUAUCAAGAAAUGAGAAGAUUGAUAGUGUUUUUAGUGUUCUUGUUUUGCUAAAUUUUGUAUAUUGUUAUCAAGAAAUAAGGAGAUUGAUAAUGUUGUUAGUGUUCUUAUUUUGCUAAAUUUUGUAUAUUGUUAUCAAGAAAUGAGAAGAUUGAUAGUGUUAUUAGUGUUCUUGUGUUGCUAAAUUUGUAUAUUGUUAUCAAGAAAUGAGAAGAUUGAUAGUGUUAUUAGUGUUGUUGUUUUGCUAAAUUUUGUAUAUUGUUAUCUAGAAAAUAGAAGAUUGAUAGUGUUAUUACUGUUCUUGUUUUGCUAAUUUUGUAUAUUGUUAUCAAGAAAUGAGAAGAUUGAUAGUGUUAUUAGUGUUCUUGUUUCGCUAAAUUUUGUAUAUUGUUGACCAGAAAUGAGAAGAUUGAUAGUGUUAUUAGUGUUCUUGUUUUGCUAAAUUUUGUAUAUUGUUAUCAAAAAAUGAGAAGAUUGAUAGUGUUACUAGUGUGCUUGUUUUGCUAAAUUUUGUAUAUUGUUAUCAAGAAAUGAGAAGAUUGAUAGUGUUAUUAGUGUUCUUGUUUUACUAAAUUUUGUAUAUUGUUAUCAAGAAAUGAGAAGAUUGAUAGUGUUAUUUAUCACGAAUAUGAGACGGAUUGAUAGUGUUAUUAGUGUUCUUGUUUUGCUAAUUUUGUAUAUUGUUAUAAGAAAUGAGAAGAUUGAUAGUGUAUUAUGUGUUCUUGUUUGGCUAAUUUGUAUAUUGUUAUCAAGAAAUGAAGCGAUUGUAGUGUUAUUAGUGUUCUUGUUUUGCUAAUUUUGUAUAUUUUCAAGAAAUGAGAGAUAUGAUUGAUAUUUUAGGUUAGUGUUUGCUAAGAUUGGUCUAGAGUAUAAUGGAAUUGAUAUUAGUUCUGUUCUUGUUUGCUAAAUUUGUAUAUUGUUAUCAAGAAAUGAGAGAUUGAUAGUGUUAUUAGUGUUCUUGUUUUGCUAAAUUUUGUAUAUUGUUAUCAAGAAAUGAGAAGAUUGAUAGUGUUAUUAGUGUUUGUGUUUGCUAAAUUUUGUAUAUUGUUAUCAAAAAUGAGAAGAUUGAUAGUGUUCUUGUUUUGCUAAAUUUUGUAUAUGUUAUCAAGAAAUGAGAAGAUUGAAGUGUUAUUAGUGUUCUUGUUUUGCUAAAUUUUGUAUAUUGUUAUCAAGAAAUGAGAAGAUUGAUAGUGUUAUUAGUGUUGUUUUUGCUAAAUUUUGUAUAUUGUUAUAAGAAAUGAGAAGAUUGAUAGUUGUUAUAGUGUUCUUGUUUGCUAAAUUUUGUAUUAGUUAUCAAGAAAUGAGAAGAUUGAUAGUGUAUUAGUGUCUUGUUUUGCUAAAUUUGUAUAUUGUUAACAAAUGAGAAGAUGAUAGUGUUAUUAGUGUUCUUGUUUUUUUUUAAAUUUUGUAUAUUGUUAUCAAGAAAUGAGAAGAUUGAUAGUGUUAUUAGUGUUCUUUUUUGCUAAAUUUUGUAU
RNAcentral lists this long non-coding RNA (42364 nucleotides) under Lathyrus oleraceus (garden pea). RNAcentral describes it as "Pisum sativum (pea) long non-coding RNA (PSAT_LNC039457)". Lineage: Eukaryota; Viridiplantae; Streptophyta; Magnoliopsida; Fabales; Fabaceae. The record is from RNAcentral.